ACGGGAGGCAGCAGUGGGGAAUAUUGCACAAUGGAGGAAACUCUGAUGCAGCGACGCCGCGUGAGUGAAGAAGUAUUUCGGUAUGUAAAGCUCUAUCAGCAGGAAAGAAAAUGACGGUACCUGACUAAGAAGCCCCGGCUAACUACGUGCCAGCAGCCGCGGUAAUACGUAGGGGGCAAGCGUUAUCCGGAUUUACUGGGUGUAAAGGGAGCGUAGACGGUUUUGCAAGUCUGAAGUGAAAACCCGGGGCUCAACCCCGGGAUUGCUUUGGAAACUGUAGAACUAGAGUGCAGGAGAGGUAAGUGGAAUUCCUAGUGUAGCGGUGAAAUGCGUAGAUAUUAGGAGGAACACCAGUGGCGAAGGCGGCUUACUGGACUGUAACUGACGCUGAGGCUCGAAAGCGUGGGGAGCAAACAGGAUUAGAUACCCUGGUA
This 434-nucleotide ribosomal RNA is filed under the name uncultured Lachnospiraceae bacterium. RNAcentral describes it as "partial 16S ribosomal RNA". It matches the Rfam family "Bacterial small subunit ribosomal RNA", at positions 341 to 792 of the family's 1533-position model. The record is from RNAcentral. Lineage: Bacteria; Bacillati; Bacillota; Clostridia; Lachnospirales; Lachnospiraceae.